This 233-nucleotide ribosomal RNA is filed under the name uncultured bacterium. Its description in RNAcentral is "partial 16S ribosomal RNA". It matches the Rfam family "Bacterial small subunit ribosomal RNA", at positions 15 to 238 of the family's 1533-position model. The record is from RNAcentral.
GAUCCUGGCUCAGGAUGAACGCUGGCGGCAUGCCUAAUACAUGCAAGUCGAACGAGAGGAAGGAAAGCUUGCUUUUCUGAAUCUAGUGGCGAACGGGUGAGUAACACGUAGGUAAUCUGCCCAUGUGCCCGGGAUAACUUCUGGAAACGGAUGCUAAAACCGGAUAGGUAGCAGACAAGCAUUUGACUGCUAUUAAGGUGGCUUUGGCCAUGAACAUGGAUGGACCUGCGGUG